GGGGUUGUGGCUCAGUGGUAGCGCACUCACCUAGCACAAGUGAGGCCCUGGGUUUGAUCCUCAGCACCUCA
RNAcentral lists this transfer RNA (71 nucleotides) under Marmota monax (woodchuck). RNAcentral's name for it is "tRNA.Ala". Lineage: Eukaryota; Metazoa; Chordata; Mammalia; Rodentia; Sciuridae. The record is from RNAcentral.